GACGAACGCUGGCGGCGUGCUUAACACAUGCAAGUCGAACGGAAAGGCCCUGCUUUUGUGGGGUGCUCGAGUGGCGAACGGGUGAGUAACACGUGAGUAACCUGCCCUUGACUUUGGGAUAACUUCAGGAAACUGGGGCUAAUACCGGAUAGGAGCUCCUGCUGCAUGGGGGGGGUUGGAAAGUUUCGGCGGUUGGGGAUGGACUCGCGGCUUAUCAGCUUGUUGGUGGGGUAGUGGCUUACGAAGGCUUUGACGGGUAGCCGGCCUGGGAGGGUGACCGGCCACAUUGGGACUGCGAUACGGCGCAGACUCCUACGGGAGGCAGCGGUGGGGAAUAUUGCACAAUGGGCGGAAGCCUGAUGCAGCAACGCCGCGUGCGGGAUGACGGCCUUCGGGUUGUAAACCGCUUUCGCCUGUGACGAAGCGUGAGUGACGGUAAUGGGUAAAGAAGCACCGGCUAACUACGUG
RNAcentral lists this ribosomal RNA (468 nucleotides) under uncultured bacterium. RNAcentral's name for it is "partial 16S ribosomal RNA". It matches the Rfam family "Bacterial small subunit ribosomal RNA", at positions 28 to 507 of the family's 1533-position model. The record is from RNAcentral.